Molecule: long non-coding RNA, 199 nt
Filed under: Musa acuminata (dwarf banana)
Lineage: Eukaryota; Viridiplantae; Streptophyta; Magnoliopsida; Zingiberales; Musaceae
Description: long non-coding RNA (MACU_LNC005653)
Source: RNAcentral
GUCUAGCAUAAACAAAUCAUUAUGCAAUGUUUCUCUCGUGAUGAUCUCACCAUCUAAUAAUAUUGAACAACUAUUAUUCUCAAAAACUAAUUUAUAUCCACUAAUUAUCAAAAAUAAAAUAGAAAUAAUAUUUUUGAUAAUAGAAGGAACAAAAUAGCAUGCAUCUAAUGCAAUAAUAGCUCCAUCAGGCAUAUGUAGG